Molecule: non-coding RNA, 551 nt
Organism: Nelumbo nucifera (sacred lotus)
Lineage: Eukaryota; Viridiplantae; Streptophyta; Magnoliopsida; Proteales; Nelumbonaceae
Source: RefSeq, a predicted model, not a curated record
UAAAAUCCUCAACUGGUGGCAGAAAAAUUUUACAUUCGAUAGAAGAUCUGCUUCCGUUAGUAGCUUCUUCAAAGCAGCUCACUCAAAACUGAAACCCUCUCAAUUCCCAAACCGGCCCGGCCAGACCUAGCGUUAGCCUUUGCACUUGGGCUGGGCACUUUGUUGGGCCCUGCUACAAAUCCGGGCAAGCCCAGAACUGAAUGAAAUUGGCACAGCCCAGCAACCCAAUCCGUCUUGGGUUUUUAGGGCUCUUGUCAAUUGUUCUACAUAAAAGAAACUAACCCGCCACCGUUAUUAAUUCUUCCUCUUGGGUGUUGUUGUCGAGUCCUGCCUCUUCUCUUAUCUGAAAAUGGGCAAUUUCAGGUUUCACCAAUAUCAGGUGGUCGGGAGAGCGCUCCCUUCCGAGACCGAUCGGCAUCCGAAGAUCUACAGGAUGAAGCUCUGGGCCACGAACGAGGUUCGCGCCAAGUCGAAGUUCUGGUACUUCUUGAGGAAGCUCAAGAAAGUCAAGAAGAGUAAUGGGCAAGUGCUGGCAAUCAACGAGGUAUUUG